GCCGAAAUGGUGGAAUUGGUAGACACAAGGNNGGCGUGCGGGUUCAAGUCCCGCUUUCGGCA
This 62-nucleotide transfer RNA is filed under the name Sphaerochaeta sp. RNAcentral describes it as "tRNA-Leu". It matches the Rfam family "tRNA". From Rfam's summary of the family: Transfer RNA (tRNA) molecules are approximately 80 nucleotides in length. Their secondary structure includes four short double-helical elements and three loops (D, anti-codon, and T loops). Further hydrogen bonds mediate the characteristic L-shaped molecular structure. tRNAs have two regions of fundamental functional importance: the anti-codon, which is responsible for specific mRNA codon recognition, and the 3' end, to which the tRNAs corresponding amino acid is attached (by aminoacyl-tRNA synthetases). tRNAs cope with the degeneracy of the genetic code in two manners: having more than one tRNA (with a specific anti-codon) for a particular amino acid; and 'wobble' base-pairing, i.e. permitting non-standard base-pairing at the 3rd anti-codon position. Lineage: Bacteria; Pseudomonadati; Spirochaetota; Spirochaetia; Spirochaetales; Sphaerochaetaceae. The record is from RNAcentral.